GUGAAAAUGGCCACGAGCUUUAACUGCCAAUGCAUGGGUGUUUGGUUACUAAGUCUGGAAUCGCGAUCACAGCAUCGAAAGUGUCAUCCCCCUUGAUGCUGCGGAUACCCUACGCCGACAGAAAUUCCGUGACAUCUGCUAUCGGCAAUUCACAAGAUGGAUAUGGGGUGCUCUGGGAAAACACCAUAGAAAGAUUCUCCCCUGCCUGUGUCAUGCAAUUAGGGAUGCAUUCCCAUCAGAUGUCUGCAAGGGCUUUGUACCUCCAGACGUGAAGAAAUAUAGUCAGACAAUAUUUUAAAUUGUUAUUACUUUGCGCCUGGACGGUUAAGUAGGGGCAUAGAUGUAUCUGUAUAUUUGCAGAGUUCGAGGUAACUCGUUACUUUAACUAAGUUCCUGUUUUUU
Molecule: long non-coding RNA, 402 nt
Organism: Ornithodoros turicata
Lineage: Eukaryota; Metazoa; Arthropoda; Arachnida; Ixodida; Argasidae
Exons: 3
Source: RefSeq, a predicted model, not a curated record